UAUUUUGUUGUGUCAUGUGACAGAGCCUUGAGUAAAUUGGUAACAGAGCAGAACGCCUUAGGAUUAAAUCAGAUAUAUAUUUAUAUUCAAGUACUGAUAUUGAGGACAUAUUGAAGAAAGCUCAGCUUCUUUCCCCUCGUGCUAUGGUUGUUGAUUCAAUAAAAACUCUUGAUCCUAUUAACACUGUUAGUAGUUUUCCUUCAACUCUAUUAACACUUUUCUUUUUCUAUCAUUUGCCAAUGUCUUUGAAUUUAACAUUUUGUUUUGAUUUAUGUAUUCUCCAGUGGUUAGAGCAAAAGGUUUAGUUGAAUGAUGCUGAGCACAAGUUAAAAGAUCAAGGAUGUCAACUAAAGGUUCAACAAAAAAGAAUUGGUUCUAUUAAAAAGACAAUUCAUGCUUUGUAUAAAAAGUUGAAUCUCCCACUUCCUUCAACCUUGUCUGAUCCUGCAGAAGAUGAGCUUGGGACAUGCUC
Molecule: non-coding RNA, 472 nt
Organism: Arachis ipaensis
Lineage: Eukaryota; Viridiplantae; Streptophyta; Magnoliopsida; Fabales; Fabaceae
Source: RefSeq, a predicted model, not a curated record